Molecule: long non-coding RNA, 671 nt
Organism: Mastomys coucha (southern multimammate mouse)
Lineage: Eukaryota; Metazoa; Chordata; Mammalia; Rodentia; Muridae
Exons: 3
Source: RefSeq, a predicted model, not a curated record
CCCCGCUUUACAAGCACUCAUCUGUGCAGGACAGGGCACAACCCACACUCGGGACUUGAAUGUGGGUGAACCCUGAAGACAGAGGCGGUCUUGGGGUGUGAAGCCCUCAGUCUGAGGAAUCUGACACUUGUCUCCAGUGGAGGCUGGAGACACUGGAUCCUCUGGAGCUGGAGUUCCAGGUGGUUGUGAGCCACCUGACCUGAGUUCUGGAGGUGGAACUCAGGCCCUCUGCAAGAGCAGUAUAUACGGGAGUUUAACUGUCAUCUCUGCAGCCAAAAUUCUCUGUUCUUCUGUGCUAAAGUGAUAGAUGUAUGGGCUGAGGACUUCGUGUGAAUGGUUCUUAUCAUUGUGGCCCAGCAGUUGAUUUAUUAACCUGAGUAGGAUCACAGCUUCUUUGAGAUUUCCUCCACGUAAUACGGCAUGACCUACAAAGGAGCAUGGUGUUACCUAAUCCUUUCCAACAUGGCACAUUUAUAGAAAGGCAAGAGUCAAUAUUCUUGCUUCAUAGGGGAAAAAAAAAAGUAUUUAGCAUUAAAGCUCUAUGUAGUAUUAGUUAAGUAGUUGAUAAAAUUGAUCCUCAAGGAUUUUUUAGAAACAUAGCAAAUGGAACAACACAUACCUUCAUGAUAAAAAAAAUAUCCUGUCUGUCCAUUUGGCUUAAGUAAACCCAG